UGGGGAAUAUUGCACAAUGGGCGCAAGCCUGAUGCAGCCAUGCCGCGUGUAUGAAGAAGGCCUUCGGGUUGUAAAGCACUUUCAGCGGGGAGGAAGGCGAUAAGGUUAAUAACCUUGGCAAUUGACGUUACCGACAGAAGAAGCACCGGCUAACUCCGUGCCAGCAGCCGCGGUAAUACGGAGGGUGCAAGCGUUAAUCGGAAUUACUGGGCGUAAAGCGCACGCAGGCGGUUGAUUGAGUCAGAUGUGAAAUCCCCGGGCUUAACCCGGGAAUUGCAUCUGAUACUGGUCAGCUAGAGUCUUGUAGAGGGGGGUAGAAUUCCAUGUGUAGCGGUGAAAUGCGUAGAGAUGUGGAGGAAUAACGGUGGCGAAGGCGGCCCCCUGGACAAAGACUGACGCUCAGGUGCGAAAGCGUGGGGAGCAAACAGG
RNAcentral lists this ribosomal RNA (429 nucleotides) under Chloroflexota bacterium. Its description in RNAcentral is "Chloroflexi bacterium partial 16S ribosomal RNA". It matches the Rfam family "Bacterial small subunit ribosomal RNA", at positions 355 to 776 of the family's 1533-position model. Lineage: Bacteria; Bacillati; Chloroflexota. The record is from RNAcentral.